CCUUGGGUUGCCCAGUGGCCGUGCGGGGAGGAAUGCCUGACUCCACGGGCCAUGGCGAAGGAAGAGAAGGUCCCCCUUUUCUGGAUCGAUGAUGAUCAAUGCCAGCGUAUGAGGCAUCGAUGACGAAUAAUGUGUGUCUGGAACUCUGAGGUCCACUCGCAAGGAAACGGGGCCUUUCUCUUCCUGCCUUUCCAUCCUCGAGCCCAACGGGGCAGCGCCGACCGCCCGAGGAGCCCAGUCGAUGGCGUCUCACUGUGGGUGUCACCUUGUCUCUUGGGUCUCCCUUAUAGGGUGGAAGCCGAAGGCCAGGCCAGGCUGCGUGGGGCCGAGACCCCUCCUCUGGCGGUGGUGGCAGGAGAGAGCCCAAGGGUGGAAGCCGAAGGCCAGGCCAGGCUGCGUGGGGCCGAGACCCCUCCUCUGGCGGUGGUGGCAGGAGAGAUCCCAAGGUGAGGCAUGGCCUCGGGCUGUCUUGGUUUGGGUCAUCGGGGCCAGUGUUUUCCAUGUCUUUAAAAUGUCCUAUGUAGAAUCCCCAGGUGACUAAUCGUCCCUUGAGAACUAAGGCAUGAACCUUUAUGCUGGUUAAUUGACAAUAGGGAUUUCACCAAAGGAAGAUACAAUCUCUUUUGGUACUACUUAGAUCAUCAGGGAUAUUCAAGUGUCUUGUACUCUGAUUUUCGUUAAUCAAGUACUUCUUGUUAUGAAGGAAACAUUAAAUUGAUCCCAAAACAUGAACAUGGGAAGUGACAUUGGCCUAAUGUACCCGUGAUGAUUAGAACAUGGGUCAGGUGCCAGUGGUGAGUCAUGAAUGACGCAUGAUAAGGGUCUGAAGCCCUGUGGCCCCACACAGUCCAUCCUCUUUGGCUCUGUUUAGGCCAUCCUGUGGACAGGUGUUAGGAACACAGAAAGUUCGGGUUCUUACAGCGUAUACGUUUUCAAAGUAUUCAUACAGCAAGGAGAACACCAUGAAAGUUAUAGGUAAUAGUUGAAGAGCAUAUGUUGUUGUCUAAUUAUGAGCAAAUAUGUUGAAGAAAGAAAUAUUAAUCAAAAUUGCCAACAGCAGCGCUCCUUAUGAGAUAAGUCAGUCAAACGGUCACCUUUGUGGCCAAUUAUCAGAGAGACUUGAAGAGUUGUAAGUGUUAGAAAUUUCCUGUAUUGUUGUGAGUCAGUUUCAAGUUUGAGGUAGUUCUUUCAGUCAAGAGACAAAACAGUCUCUAAAGCAUGGCUAUGCUUUACAUUGUUAAGUAACAGGGCAGAUGAAAUGUAGAGGCAAGACGCGACGGUGAUCCCUUUUCUUUUCUUUCUCUUUUUCAUCAUUGGCUGUGCUUUGUGCUGUCAAACGUGCUCACGCUGGAGCGGAUUGAGCGUGAUCCCACGGUGACGUCACACGUCUUCUUGGGUGUUGAGAAUGAUUGAGUGUCUGAAUGACUGUGUGGGAAUUGCUGAAUCCGUCAAUGAAGUAAUACACGUGAAGGAGGCACAGAGACCCCGUCACGGACCAGUGAUGAGGCGCGUGACGGGAAGAGUCCUGAAGGAAGAAAGCAUCUCUGAAACUCUGAGGUCUGUCCCAGCACCUAAGGAGUCUCCUCUCUUGGGGGAAAUUGUGUCUGUAGAGAGAUGCCAGGGGUAUACAAAGGUCAUGUGUUCUCGUAUUUAUUUCUUUGUCGUGGGUUUGUUAGGAAUGGCUGCGUGCCAGAAUCAUUAAGCAAAUAUUAGUAAGUGUAUACGGAAAAAAUAUGUUCGUGCAUUGUAGAAGUAGCAAUUGUCUUGGGAGUUAAUAGAUACUGUGCAUAAACAUUGAAAACCUUGAUUCUGUGAAAUAAAUUGGAACGGGUCACCUCUUUGUUCA
RNAcentral lists this long non-coding RNA (1846 nucleotides) under Sus scrofa (pig). RNAcentral's name for it is "lncRNA (ENSSSCG00070010641.1)". The stretch from base 82 to 156 matches the Rfam family "Small nucleolar RNA SNORD113/SNORD114 family". Lineage: Eukaryota; Metazoa; Chordata; Mammalia; Artiodactyla; Suidae. The record is from RNAcentral.